ACUGGGAGGUGUGAUCUCACACUCGCUGGGAGGUGUGCUAUCGUCUUCCCUGGGAGGUGUGAUCCUGUUCUUCCUGAGCG
This is a microRNA precursor of Homo sapiens (human), 80 nucleotides long. Ensembl annotates it as microRNA 3689d-2. The record is from Ensembl. NCBI's taxonomy places the organism in Eukaryota, Metazoa, Chordata, Mammalia, Primates, Hominidae.